RNAcentral lists this ribosomal RNA (484 nucleotides) under uncultured bacterium. Its description in RNAcentral is "bacterial SSU rRNA". It matches the Rfam family "Bacterial small subunit ribosomal RNA", at positions 33 to 507 of the family's 1533-position model. The record is from RNAcentral.
GAUCAGUGGCUACAGGACGACGCUGGCGGCGUGCCUAACACAUGCAAGUCGAGCGGAGACAGUGAGUAGCUUGCUAUGAGCUGUUUUAGCGGCGGACGGGUGAGUAACGCGUGAGCAACCUUUCCCAGACAGGGGAAUAACACACCGAAAGGUGUACUAAUACCGCAUAAGACCACGGGAUCACAUGGUUCUGGGGUAAAAGAUUUAUCGGUUUGGGGUGGGCUCGCGUCCGAUUAGGUAGUUGGUGAGGUAACGGCCCACCAAGCCGACGAUCGGUAGCCGACCUGAGAGGGUGAUCGGCCACAUUGGGACUGAGACACGGCCCAAACUCCUACGGGAGGCAGCAGUGGGGAAUAUUGGGCAAUGGAGGAAACUCUGACCCAGCAACGCCGCGUGGAGGAAGAAGGUUUUCGGAUCGUAAACUCCUGUCCUUGGAGACGAGUAGAAGACGGUAUCCAAGGAGGAAGCCCCGGCUAACUACGUG